Molecule: ribosomal RNA, 641 nt
Filed under: uncultured archaeon
Lineage: Archaea
Description: bacterial SSU rRNA
Rfam family: Archaeal small subunit ribosomal RNA
Source: RNAcentral
GCGGCCGAUUAGGUAGUUGGUUAGGUAAUGGCUUACCAAGCCGUUGAUCGGUACGGGUUGUGAGAGCAAGAGCCCGGAGAUGGAACUGAGACAAGGUUCCAGGCCCUACGGGGUGCAGCAGGCGCGAAACCUCCGCAAUGUGAGAAAUCGCGACGGGGGGAUCCCAAGUGCCAUUCUUAACGGGAUGGCUUUUCAUUAGUGUAAAGAGCUUUUGGAAUAAGAGCUGGGCAAGACCGGUGCCAGCCGCCGCGGUAACACCGGCAGCUCUAGUGGUAACAAUUUUUAUUGGGCCUAAAGCGUCCGUAGCCGGUUUAAUAAGUCUCUGGUGAAAUCCUGUAGCUUAACUGUGGGAAUUGCUGGAGAUACUAUUAGACUUGAGACCGGGAGAGGUUAGAGGUACUCCCAGGGUAGAGGUGAAAUUCUGUAAUCCUGGGAGGACCGCCUGUUGCGAAGGCGUCUAACUGGAACGGUUCUGACGGUGAGGGACGAAAGUUAGGGGCGCGAACCGGAUUAGAUACCCGGGUAGUCCUAACUGUAAACGAUGCGGACUUGGUGUUGGGGUGGCUUUGAGCUGCUUCAGUGCCGAAGGGAAGCUGUUAAGUCCGCCGCCUGGGAAGUACGGUCGCAAGACUGAAACUUAA